Molecule: ribosomal RNA, 394 nt
Filed under: Stenotrophomonas maltophilia
Lineage: Bacteria; Pseudomonadati; Pseudomonadota; Gammaproteobacteria; Lysobacterales; Lysobacteraceae
Description: bacterial SSU rRNA
Rfam family: Bacterial small subunit ribosomal RNA
Source: RNAcentral
UAUCCCGAGUGCAGCGUUACUCGGAUUACUGGGCGUAAGCUCGUGCGUAGGUGGUCGUUUAAGUCCGUUGUGAAAGCCCUGGGCUCAACCUGGGAACUGCAGUGGAUACUGGGCGACUAGAGUGUGGUAGAGGGUAGCGGAAUUCCUGGUGUAGCAGUGAAAUGCGUAGAGAUCAGGAGGAACAUCCAUGGCGAAGGCAGCUACCUGGACCAACACUGACACUGAGGCACGAAAGCGUGGGGAGCAAACAGGAUUAGAUACCCUGGUAGUCCACGCCCUAAACGAUGCGAACUGGAUGUUGGGUGCAAUUUGGCACGCAGUAUCGAAGCUAACGCGUUAAGUUCGCCGCCUGGGGAGUACGGUCGCAAGACUGAAACUCAAAGGGAAUUGACGG